CGGAGGAUCCAAGCGUUACCCGGAAUUAUUGGGCGUAAAGAGUUGCGUAGGCGGUUUGUUAAGUGGAAUGUGAAAUCUCUUGGCUCAACUGAGAGGGUAUGUUCCAAACUAGCAAACUAGAGGAUGGUAGAGGCGAGUGGAAUUUGCAGUGUAGGAGUGAAAUCCGUAGAUAUUGCAAGGAACACCAAUGGCGAAGGCAGCUCGCUGGGCCAUUCCUGACGCUAAGGCACGAAAGCGUGGGGAGCGAACCGGAUUAGAUACCCGGGUAGUCCACGCCGUAAACGAUGGAUGCUAGCUGUUGGCCGUAUCGACCCGGUCAGUAGCGAAGCUAACGCGUUAAGCAUCCCGCCUGGGGAGUACGAGCGCAAGCUUA
This 373-nucleotide ribosomal RNA is filed under the name uncultured organism. RNAcentral describes it as "bacterial SSU rRNA". It matches the Rfam family "Bacterial small subunit ribosomal RNA", at positions 526 to 896 of the family's 1533-position model. The record is from RNAcentral.